AUCAAGUUUAUCAAAAAAUGUCAUGAAACAUUUUUGUAGAGAAUUUAAUUUCCUGUAAGACAGAUCUUGUAACUUUUGUUAUUGAUCCAAGGGCUCUGGAGACAAUUCACGAUUUAUUGAAGAUGGAAAUGAAUUUUUUGGUGAGCAACUCGUUGCUAGGGAAACGUAAUUUCUGUUUACAAUUGAAUUGAAGCAGUGUUUUAGGGUUAAUUUAAUUGACGAGUUGACGAAAAAUGUUAUGGGGAGGGAGCCCACCUUUAGAUUUUUCUUCUGAAAUCGAUAAAAACAGUGAUGAUCCACUGGAGAUAUUGAUAGUUGGGGCCUGCGAUGCCAGGCACAUAAUCAAGACCCUCUCGUCUCUGGAGAAAGCGUCGAAACGAAUGAGAUAUCACAUCGUCGAGGCAACUCUCGAGGACAUUGCGAGGUCUAUUCUUCUUAUUAAUAUCUCACUCGACAAACAAUUGGGGUUCCAGGAAGCCAGUCGAUAUUUCCUAGAAGUCCUGGGAAAUACCCUGAUCACUCCAGGAACAGCGAAAUAUCUAAUUAAAACCAUCAAACGAUUGAUUGACGUGAUUACCCAGACGUACCCCUGUCCCUGGCUGAAUCUGGAGGGGCUGAAAUACCGAGAUAGGGACGGUAUCGAGGCGAUCUUCAAGUUUUGGGUGAGAGCUCUUUGCGAAGGUGUUCCUAUGGUCAAAUACUGGGACAAGAGAGUUCGAAAUUCCCUGAAUACGAGGUACGACUAUCGAGACGGUGUCUUCGACUGGGAUUACCAUAUGGUGCUCAUGUCGACGGGGCUGAAGUACCUGACGAUUCGCGAGUACAAGUUCUGGAGGAGCAAUGGUAUUGCCUUCACGUGGAUCGAGACUGAUCCUACGAGGAGCAAUCCGACAUUGCUGAGUGGAAUUCACGCUGUGGGACAGGGGUUUAUUCAUUAUGCAUACAAGGGUGACAUCAGAAAUGGGCCUUAUUUCACGUGGUCGCUUGAUGAUCUCAACAGAAAUCCCAAGCUGAGGGCCACUGACGUGGCCGAGGGUCAAGUUCUGAGAGCGAUUUAUCAAAUUAGAGAGAGGGAAUCGUGCCCAGACAAUUUUAUCGCUGCUCACAGGGACGAAUCCCUUAUCCACGCGACUCUUGUCACUCAAAUGCCAGACUCCGGGGCAGAGUACGAGGCCUGGGAGUACAGAGAUUACUCGAAGAAGGUGGAGGAAGAGUGUCCAUGGGUCGACAUUGCAGAUCACAUCGUGAAAUUCACCCCUGCGUGGUACUUAGAAAAAUACAAAACCAAAUCAGAGUUCAAAGAGAAGUUCGACAUCGUCUUCGUGGCGAAUAACAUCACGAAUCAAAUUCCCACAAUAAUUCCCUGGGUGAAAAGAAAAGGAAUGGUAUUGAUCGAGUCUCGGAAAUUCAUGACAGAACUGUCCAAAGAAGAUCACGAAAAAUUUUCCAGUGAUUUGAAACAAUUAACAGAAGACGCUGGAUUAAAAUUAAUUGAACCCAUCCACGAACCCCUCGAGAACAUCCUGCGAUACAUGAAAGAUUGAAAUAAAAUAGAACGAAGAAUAAAAUGAGGAGUAAUUUUAAUUCUACAAACGACAGUGUAAUCGUAAUAAGCAACAUACUAUAUUAAAAACGAUGUGAUUCCCAAGGCCUCUGUAGCAACGUCAUCCAGGGGUGACCAGUGUGCCGGACGCUCAGCGCAAAGUUCGAAAAGUGGUUGUUUCUCGGGUGUUAUCAACUCACUCUGCAUCGAUCUGCACAGAG
Diachasmimorpha longicaudata is the source of this 1764-nucleotide RNA transcript. It is a transcript of the gene named dynein axonemal assembly factor 3 homolog, with no coding region annotated. The transcript is spliced from 6 exons. The record is from RefSeq and is a predicted model, not a curated record. Lineage: Eukaryota; Metazoa; Arthropoda; Insecta; Hymenoptera; Braconidae.